This is a long non-coding RNA of Juglans regia (Persian walnut), 716 nucleotides long. RefSeq lists it as uncharacterized. NCBI's taxonomy places the organism in Eukaryota, Viridiplantae, Streptophyta, Magnoliopsida, Fagales, Juglandaceae. The transcript is spliced from 5 exons. The record is from RefSeq and is a predicted model, not a curated record.
UGGCAGACACUGCAUACCCUGCAUGUAUUUAGAGAUGAGGAAAACUGCUCCGGGUUUACGAUUGGUGGAUAAGUCCUUAUUGAUGGAGGGCAGAACCAUAGAAUGGGUUUAUUCGAUAUGGUCUUGAUAAAAGAUAACCAUAUAUCAAUAGCUGGAGGCAUCAAGAAUGCCAUUAAAUCCGUUGACAUGUAUUUAGAGCAAUAGAACCUUCAAAUGGAGGUUGAGGUUGAAACCAGGACACUUUACGAAGUAAACGAGGUAUUGCAUUAUGCAUCUCAAGCAAAGACAGCCUUGAAUCGAAUAAUGUUGGAUAAUAUGGUUGUACCGUUACCAAUGGAGAUGUAGAUGCAUCUAUGGCUUAAAGAAGCUGUGGAUAUGAUUGAUGAGAGAUUUGAGACUGAGGCAUCAGGCAAUGUCACUCUUGAAACGGUACACAAAAUUGGACAAACUGGAGUGACCUACAUUUCUAGUAACACAUUCUGUAAAAGCACUUGACAUCUCCCUCAAGAUUGAUACAGAAGUUGGCCCUUCUAGUUGGAAGGCGUACAAAACGAGCAUGACUGUCUGUCCUUCAUAUCGCAUUCUUUUACUCUUGUUAAUGCAAUAAGUUGAGCUGCCGCCGGUAAAUCUUACCAUUCUGUCUCGUACUAAGAGAUUGCUUCACUUCUUUUGUGGAUUGACCAUCAAAUAAGAUAUUGUUUUAUGUGUUUACUGCA